AAAAGGUUCCAUGUGAACAGCCGUUGCACAUGGGUCAGUCGAUCCUAAGGCCUAGGGUAGUUCCGCUCUGAGCGGCGGCGCGAGCCUGCUUCGUGCGGGUCAGCGCCCCCUGGUCGAAAGGGAAUCGGGUCAAUAUUCCCGAACCUGAAGGCGGAGCCCGCUGCCAUCUAGGCAGUCAGAGCUGCAAAGCUAUGGAGCUCGGAGACGCUGGCCGGAGCCCCGGGGAGAGUUGUCUUUUCUUUGUAAGGGGCGGGUUUCCCUGAAACCGACUGGAUCGGAGAUAGGGACCGCGGCCCCGUAGAGCGCCGCGUCUGGAGCGGCGUCCGGUGUUGCACUGGCCGGCCCUUGAAAAUCCGGGGGACGAGCGUGGACUCUCGCCUCAGGUCGUACCCAUAACCGCAGCAGGUCUCCAAGGUGAACAGCCUCUGGUCAAUAGAACAAUGUAGGUAAGGGAAGUCGGCAAGCCGGAUCCGUAACUUCGGGAAAAGGAUUGGCUCUGAGGACUGGGUCGGUCGGGCCGGGGCUGGAAGCAGGCACGGACCCUCAGCGUGACUGGGCGAGCCGGUCGAGGUUGGCUUCGGCCUUCUGAGACUGGCGAACCCGGACUUUGCAUUGGGUCCGGCUCGUGGACCGUCCUGGCUGCGCGGCGGCCUCGUGCCGUCGCCUCGGCCGGCGCCAAACAGCCGGCUCAGAACUGGUACGGACCAGGGGAAUCCGACUGUCUAAUUAAAACAGAGCAUUGCGAUGUGCCGCAACCCGGGCGUUGACGCAAUGUGAUUUCUGCCCAGUGCUUCUGAAUGUUCAAAGUGAAGAAAUUCCAAUCAAGC
RNAcentral lists this ribosomal RNA (827 nucleotides) under Ophionereis reticulata. RNAcentral's name for it is "eukaryotic LSU rRNA". It matches the Rfam family "Eukaryotic large subunit ribosomal RNA", at positions 1501 to 2241 of the family's 3401-position model. Lineage: Eukaryota; Metazoa; Echinodermata; Ophiuroidea; Amphilepidida; Ophionereidae. The record is from RNAcentral.